AGCUCCCACUGUCUGGGCUCAGGAAGCAGAAGAGCUUCAAAGUUCCUACAGACCUUGACAGAGCUUCCUCUGGCUUUGCCUGUGCGGAACAAUUCUGAGGGUUAUUUUCAAAGCUUUGUCACCACCAUACGAUACAGAGAACCCUUACAGUGCCAAAGUUCGGGAGCAGCUGAAGAUCACCAACCUUCGCGUGCAGCUGCUGAAACGACAGUCUUGUCCCUGUCAGAGAAAUGACCUGAACGAAGAGCCUCAACAUUUUACACACUAUGCAAUCUAUGAUUUCAUUGUCAAGGGCAGCUGCUUCUGCAAUGGCCACGCUGAUCAAUGCAUACCUGUUCAUGGCUUCAGACCUGUCAAGGCCCCAGGAACAUUCCACAUGGUCCAUGGGAAGUGUAUGUGUAAGCACAACACAGCAGGCAGC
This 421-nucleotide small RNA is filed under the name Pan troglodytes (chimpanzee). Its description in RNAcentral is "processed transcript". Lineage: Eukaryota; Metazoa; Chordata; Mammalia; Primates; Hominidae. The record is from RNAcentral.